AUACAUGCAGUCGUACGCUUCUUUUUCCACCGGAGCUUGCUCCACCGGAAAAAGAAGAGUGGCGAACGGGUGAGUAACACGUGGGUAACCUGCCCAUCAGAAGGGGAUAACACUUGGAAACAGGUGCUAAUACCGUAUAACAAUCGAAACCGCAUGGUUUUGAUUUGAAAGGCGCUUUCGGGUGUCGCUGAUGGAUGGACCCGCGGUGCAUUAGCUAGUUGGUGAGGUAACGGCUCACCAAGGCCACGAUGCAUAGCCGACCUGAGAGGGUGAUCGGCCACAUUGGGACUGAGACACGGCCCAAACUCCUACGGGAGGCAGCAGUAGGGAAUCUUCGGCAAUGGACGAAAGUCUGACCGAGCAACGCCGCGUGAGUGAAGAAGGUUUUCGGAUCGUAAAACUCUGUUGUUAGAGAAGAACAAGGAUGAGAGUAACUGUUCAUCCCUUGACGGUAUCUAACCAGAAAGCCACGGCUAACUACGUGCCAGCAGCCGCGGUAAUACGUAGGUGGCAAGCGUUGUCCGGAUUUAUUGGGCGUAAAGCGAGCGCAGGCGGUUUCUUAAGUCUGAUGUGAAAGCCCCCGGCUCAACCGGGGAGGGUCAUUGGAAACUGGGAGACUUGAGUGCAGAAGAGGAGAGUGGAAUUCCAUGUGUAGCGGUGAAAUGCGUAGAUAUAUGGAGGAACACCAGUGGCGAAGGCGGCUCUCUGGUCUGUAACUGACGCUGAGGCUCGAAAGCGUGGGGAGCAAACAGGAUUAGAUACCCUGGUAGUCCACGCCGCAAACGAUGAGUGCUAAGUGUUGGAGGGUUUCCGCCCUUCAGUGCUGCAGCUAACGCAUUAAGCACUCCGC
Molecule: ribosomal RNA, 850 nt
Filed under: uncultured Enterococcus sp.
Lineage: Bacteria; Bacillati; Bacillota; Bacilli; Lactobacillales; Enterococcaceae
Description: bacterial SSU rRNA
Rfam family: Bacterial small subunit ribosomal RNA
Source: RNAcentral